This 600-nucleotide ribosomal RNA is filed under the name Herbaspirillum huttiense subsp. huttiense. Its description in RNAcentral is "bacterial SSU rRNA". It matches the Rfam family "Bacterial small subunit ribosomal RNA", at positions 60 to 654 of the family's 1533-position model. The record is from RNAcentral. Lineage: Bacteria; Pseudomonadati; Pseudomonadota; Betaproteobacteria; Burkholderiales; Oxalobacteraceae.
AGUCGACGGCAGCAUAGGAGCUUGCUCCUGAUGGCGAGUGGCGAACGGGUGAGUAAUAUAUCGGAACGUGCCCUAGAGUGGGGGAUAACUAGUCGAAAGACUAGCUAAUACCGCAUACGAUCUACGGAUGAAAGUGGGGGAUCGCAAGACCUCAUGCUCCUGGAGCGGCCGAUAUCUGAUUAGCUAGUUGGUGGGGUAAAAGCCUACCAAGGCAACGAUCAGUAGCUGGUCUGAGAGGACGACCAGCCACACUGGGACUGAGACACGGCCCAGACUCCUACGGGAGGCAGCAGUGGGGAAUUUUGGACAAUGGGGGCAACCCUGAUCCAGCAAUGCCGCGUGAGUGAAGAAGGCCUUCGGGUUGUAAAGCUCUUUUGUCAGGGAAGAAACGGUAGUAGCGAAUAACUAUUACUAAUGACGGUACCUGAAGAAUAAGCACCGGCUAACUACGUGCCAGCAGCCGCGGUAAUACGUAGGGUGCAAGCGUUAAUCGGAAUUACUGGGCGUAAAGCGUGCGCAGGCGGUUGUGUAAGUCAGAUGUGAAAUCCCCGGGCUCAACCUGGGAAUUGCAUUUGAGACUGCACGGCUAGAGUGUGUCAG